RNAcentral lists this ribosomal RNA (301 nucleotides) under uncultured bacterium. RNAcentral's name for it is "partial 16S ribosomal RNA". It matches the Rfam family "Bacterial small subunit ribosomal RNA", at positions 509 to 807 of the family's 1533-position model. The record is from RNAcentral.
CAGUCGCCGCGGUAAAACGUAGGGUGCAAGCGUUAAUCGGAAUUACUGGGCGUAAAGCGUGCGCAGGCGGUUCUAUAAGACAGAUGUGAAAUCCCCGGGCUCAACCUGGGAACUGCAUUUGUGACUGUAGAGCUGGAGUGCGGCAGAGGGGGAUGGAAUUCCGCGUGUAGCAGUGAAAUGCGUAGAUAUGCGGAGGAACACCGAUGGCGAAGGCAAUCCCCUGGGCCUGCACUGACGCUCAUGCACGAAGGCGUGGGGAGCAAACAGGAUUAGAUACCCCGGUAGUCCCUGUCUCUUAUAC